Long non-coding RNA from Eurytemora carolleeae, 530 nucleotides. RefSeq lists it as uncharacterized. The record is from RefSeq and is a predicted model, not a curated record. NCBI's taxonomy places the organism in Eukaryota, Metazoa, Arthropoda, Copepoda, Calanoida, Temoridae. The transcript is spliced from 2 exons.
UUUUUACUUUUCUUGUUUUGGCAGUGUUAUAAAUAAUAUUGAAAACAUUGAAGUAUUAAAUUAUUAUUAGCAUGUUCCAACAAUAUUUUGUCAAGGUUCGGCGUGAGAUUCAAGAGGAAGGACAGAAACAAUCUUGAAAUGUUGGAGAUUUUUUCUAGUUAUAUUAUAUUGAUACUUUGAUCCUUGUUCCUCAAUUCUGAUUUGAACCUUACAGAUUUAUAAAAGUCGUUCUAAAUUCUACUGAUAGAAAUGCAUUUAAAUUUAUCUUACCAGUGAUGAUAUAUAUUUAUGAAUAUUUUACUUACAAUGUACAUUAUUUAACCGAGCUUAGUGUUUUCUCAUUGUGGUUCUAACAUAUAAUAUCCUUAAUUAAUGUAAUUGAUUUCUUGAAUCAAACAUUUUUGAUCUGAAACCGACAAAAUUUAUGAAUUAUUUAAUCGAAAAUUACAAAUUAUGUAUUUAAGAGGUUUAUUUGUUACAAUUUUACUAUUUGAUGUGAUCUGUAUUAUCUGUAUCUAUGAUGGAUUGCA